RNAcentral lists this ribosomal RNA (312 nucleotides) under Triticum aestivum (bread wheat). Its description in RNAcentral is "partial small subunit ribosomal RNA". Lineage: Eukaryota; Viridiplantae; Streptophyta; Magnoliopsida; Poales; Poaceae. The record is from RNAcentral.
AUGCUUCGAAGGUAUAACACCGAGAUGACCACCCGUGGACCGUGUGCAUAUGAUGUGUGUAUGACAUGGUUGCAUGUAUCUGUUGCUCCCCGCGCACGAUGUAUCUCUUGCACGUUCCUCAUUGUUUGCCAUGUCGUCGACCCGUGGGAACCCGGUAACCGGGAUCACCCUACCAUCUCUAGCAUGUUCCGCACAUCCGCACACUUGCUCUUGUGCACCGGAAUCUCAAUGAGUUGUCGGAUCAUCGGAAUGUUGCCGUGGCACCAUUUCCAUUGUCGUUGCCGUGGCACCCCUUUCGCGCCGCCACAUUGA